RNAcentral lists this ribosomal RNA (221 nucleotides) under uncultured Staphylococcus sp. RNAcentral describes it as "partial 16S ribosomal RNA". It matches the Rfam family "Bacterial small subunit ribosomal RNA", at positions 119 to 334 of the family's 1533-position model. Lineage: Bacteria; Bacillati; Bacillota; Bacilli; Caryophanales; Staphylococcaceae. The record is from RNAcentral.
GGAUAACCUACCUAUAAGACUGGGAUAACUUCGGGAAACCGGAGCUAAUACCAGAUGAUAUUUUGAACCGCAUGGUUCAAAAGUGAAAGACGGUCUUGCUGUCACUUAUAGAUGGAUCCGCGCUGCAUUAGCUAGUUGGUAAGGUAACGGCUUACCAAGGCAACGAUGCAUAGCCGACCUGAGAGGGUGAUCGGCCACACUGGAACUGAGACACGGUCCAG